Molecule: ribosomal RNA, 253 nt
Filed under: uncultured bacterium
Lineage: Bacteria
Description: partial 16S ribosomal RNA
Rfam family: Bacterial small subunit ribosomal RNA
Source: RNAcentral
UACGUAGGGGGCAAGCGUUGUCCGGAAUCAUUGGGCGUAAAGAGCGUGUAGGCGGCUCGAUAAGUCUGCUGUGAAAGUCCAGGGCUCAACCCUGGAAGGCCGGUGGAAACUGUCGGGCUAGAGUCCGGAAGAGGCGAGUGGAAUUCCCGGUGUAGCGGUGAAAUGCGCAGAUAUCGGGAGGAACACCAGUGGCGAAGGCAGCUCGCUGGGACGGUACUGACGCUGAGACGCGAAAGCGUGGGGAGCAAACAGG